UAUAAUGUAGUGAUUUACAGAAGUUAUUUUCAAAUAUGUAACAAAAGUAUUUAUUUUACACCUCUAGUAACAACAGAAGCUACUAGCCCAGAAGAAGGAUCUUCGUUUACUGUCUCUGAUUGUAAAAUAAAAGAAGAAAAGUAUGAAGAUCCUAAUGAUACUGAGAACACAUUUGUCAAAGUCAAAACUGAACAAAGUGUUGAUUCAACAAAUGAUGACAUUAUUUCCAAGUUCAGUGAGAGUGAUGAUGAAACUGUUGAUUGUUCACAACAUGAUGUUAUGAGUGUGAAAAAAGAAAUUGAACCAAAAGAAGAGUUUCAACAAAUUAACUCUGAGUUAGAAGGUUUAUCAGAUCCAAAUCCGUACUUGAACAACUAUUCUGGAAAACAGUUUCCUGGACGUCAAAUUGUAAACAAAAAUUACCAGUCUCUGAAUCCAAGUGGUGGUAUUAUAUCUGAUAAAACGUUGUUGAUGGUAAAUAACCAGAAAAUAUGUAACAUUUCCCAUAGUGAAGCUACAGCAUGCAGUAACAAUGUGUGUGACAAGGAAUUAAAUGUGAAGUCACACUUUGAGAAGAAACUGUACAGAUGUGAAGAGUGUGGCAAACAACUUGUAUCACGGAGUAAUUUCAAAAUACACCUGAGAAUUCACGCUGGAGAGAAACCGUACAGUUGCAUAGUUUGUGGUAAGAAAUUUGUGAGCAAAAGCCAUCUUAACAGCCAUACGAUGUCACACACUGAAGAGAAACCGUACAGUUGUCUAGUGUGUGGUAAAGGAUUUAUUAAAAAUAGCUUACUUCAAGAGCAUGAAAGGAUACACACUGGAGAGAAACCUUACAGUUGUGUAGUGUGUGGUAAAAAAUAUGGAAGAAGAAGUUAUCUUAAAACUCAUCAGAGGACACAUACUGGGGAGAAACCAUAUAGUUGUUUAGUAUGUGGUAAAAAAUUUGGAAGAACCAGUCAUCUUAGAACUCACCAAAGAAUACAUACUGGGGAGAAACCGUACAGUUGUUUAGAGUGUGGAAAAAAGUUUUUAUGUAAUAAUAACCUUAAAACACAUAAAAUGAUACACACUGGAGAGAAACCAUUCAGCUGUUUAGUGUGUCAUAAAGAAUUUAGUAGAAAUUACCAUCUUAAAGUGCAUCAGAAGAUACACAGUGAGGAGAAACCGUACACUUGCGUAGUUUGUGAUAAAAGAUUUAGAAGUAAAAGUCAUCUUAACAUACAUGAAAAGAUACACACAUUAGUAGUCACAUUAGAACACAUGAAGUGAUACAGAAUAAGGAGAACCAAACAGUUUUGUAAUGUAUAUUAAAUAAUUCAGAAUAAUUUAUCAUCUUAAAACUCUUCAAGAUACAUACAUUGAUGAAAAACAAAACAGUUGGAUAACUUGUGGUGAUGAAUUCACAUAACACACACUGGAGAGUAACUACUUUGUUGUUUGUAAGAAAUAGUAACAUAGAAAACAUGAAUACAUGCACUGUACAGCUGUUUAGUAAGGAAAGUGUAGGUACUUAAAAAAACAUGUCUAAAGUCAAGAAGUGGCGACAUGUUGAGAGAAGAUAAUGAAAAUAAACAUAAAAUUUACAAGUUUGUUGUGUGUGGCAGGGAUUUUGAUUGAAAAGCUGCUUAGAAAAAAUAUCAAAAUACAUUUGGGGAUUGAACACAUUUUCUUAGAUUGUGUAUUUGUAAAGAAAUUAAUAAAUACACACUGGAGCCAAAUACUAAAGUUGUAUAAUACAAAUCCUUGACAUAAAACCAAUAUAUGUAGUUGGAUGAGAAAUUAUACGGUCGUGAUAUCUGUGAUGAGAACUUUUAUCCAUAGUGUAGAUAAUCAAAGGUUUGUGUAAUGAAAGAUAUUUAAAGAAACAACGGUCAGUGAACAGUGAGAAUUGAUACAAGUUUUUUGUUAUGUGUGUGUUUCUUUGACUGUAAAUGUUAUAGUUACAAUGAAAUAUGUAAACAAUGUUACACUGGGGAAACAUCUUGUGACUUUGGAGGAUAUACAGUAGUAUAGGUUAUGGAAACUAUGGUAACUUACAAAUGUAAUGAUUUAAUUAACCUUGGGAAGAAACUAUACAGUUGUAGUGUCUGUUGCAGUAACUUACACAUUGUUUUUGGGUAACACAUGAGAUCAUCUACAAGUGAAAUAAACAUACUUUUGUGUAGAGUAAAGAUCCGCAAGUGAAACAUGAGGUCAAACAUUACUUUGAAGAAAACCAUAAGGUAAUUACAGAUCCUGUUUUGUCCUCCAUCAAUUUACAUGUAACUAAAGAAGUC
This 2279-nucleotide unclassified non-coding RNA is filed under the name Limulus polyphemus (Atlantic horseshoe crab). RNAcentral describes it as "gastrula zinc finger protein xLCGF3.1-like, transcript variant X1". Lineage: Eukaryota; Metazoa; Arthropoda; Merostomata; Xiphosura; Limulidae. The record is from RNAcentral.